UUACACUUUUAUCCAAAGCGACUUACAUUGCAUUUUUAUUUCAUGGCUUCUACAUGUUUUGCCCGGGGAGCAACUAUGGGUCUGGUGUCUUGCUCAGGGACACUUCGACGUGGGACAUAGGGCAGCCGGGGGUCGAACCACCAACCUUGUGCUUCCCAGUGUGAUUCCACUAUGGAGAAUGAAUCCCUCAAACAUCAACCUCCAACCAUCGUAUCGGGAUAUAGCCUCGUUAGCUUAGCAUCUCGCAGCCUCACAGCUAAAGUCCUCCAAUCAUGAGGUCACACUCAGUCUGUUUAAAAAUACUACUAAUACUACUACUAAUAAUAAUAACAUUACUUGUUACAAAAACACAGGAACGCAAACAUGUUCCACAUGACGGAUGUUUUUAAUCAUUAAAAUGCAGAUUAGUGAUUCAACAAGUUUCCUUCUUUAAGAGGUGGAAUUAAAAAAAACACACAAAAUAUGCAGGGAGCAACUUUAAGAGGAAUAACUUUUAACAAGUGGACAAUUUGAGACGAGUUUCUGCUGACGGCCGGUCGGCAGGAGGAGGAGAAGAAGAAGAAGAAGAAGAAGAAGAAGAAGAAGAAGAAGAAGAAGGAGAAGAAGAAGAAGAGGAGCUUCAUAUGAAGAAGUACAUUUAAAGUGGAACCGGAGGAAGUGACUCCGCUGUUUCCUCUGUUACAGUUUGCAUGACAAACUCUGAUUUUAUCUUAAAUGGUAACACUCACAUCUAAAUAAAGAAAACAAGGAGAAAUUGUUGCUUCUGACGGCAGUUUGGGGGUUUUGCAGACAUGUCUUUUAUUUUGAAAAUCUGAAUAAAUAAUAACAUUGA
Gasterosteus aculeatus aculeatus (three-spined stickleback) is the source of this 832-nucleotide long non-coding RNA. NCBI's taxonomy places the organism in Eukaryota, Metazoa, Chordata, Actinopteri, Perciformes, Gasterosteidae. The record is from Ensembl.